UAAUAGAGUUAAUUUAUGGCACUCUAAAAAAAUCCAUAUCCACCUUGUGUGAAAUGUUAAAUCCUUGCCAUUUAUUUGUCAAGGUUUUUUUAUAUCAACUCUUUUUUUAUAUAUAUUUUUUAAACUGUCUGAAAAAUCGUUAUGAAUUUACUUAAUUCAAAACA
RNAcentral lists this unclassified non-coding RNA (164 nucleotides) under uncultured Mortierellales. RNAcentral describes it as "sequence contains ITS1". Lineage: Eukaryota; Fungi; Mortierellomycota; Mortierellomycetes; Mortierellales. The record is from RNAcentral.